CUAGCGACUUCAGAGUUUGAUCCUGGCUCAGGAUGAACGCUGGCGGCGUGCUUAACACAUGCAAGUCGAACGAGGCUCAUCUGUGGAAGUUUUCGGAUGGAAACGGAUGUGACCGAGUGGCGGACGGGUGAGUAACGCGUGGGGAACCUGCCCCAUUCCGGGGGAUACCAGUUGGAAACGACUGUUAAUACCGCAUAAGCGCACGGGAAGGCAUCUUCCAGUGUGAAAAAACUGAGGUGGAAUGGGAUGGCCCCGCGUCUGAUUAGCCAGUUGGCAGGGUAACGGCCUACCAAAGCGACGAUCAGUAGCCGGCCUGAGAGGGCGACCGGCCACAUUGGGACUGAGACACGGCCCAG
RNAcentral lists this ribosomal RNA (356 nucleotides) under uncultured bacterium. RNAcentral's name for it is "bacterial SSU rRNA". It matches the Rfam family "Bacterial small subunit ribosomal RNA", at positions 1 to 334 of the family's 1533-position model. The record is from RNAcentral.